Molecule: long non-coding RNA, 5902 nt
Filed under: Sus scrofa (pig)
Lineage: Eukaryota; Metazoa; Chordata; Mammalia; Artiodactyla; Suidae
Description: lncRNA (ENSSSCG00030024842.1)
Source: RNAcentral
UUUUUUUUUUUUGGCUGCCCUUUGGAGUCUGGAGUUCCCAAGCCAGGGAUCAGAUCUGAGCCACAGUCGUGACUUAGCUAGGUCAUUUUUCCUCAUAGGACCUAUCAUCUGAAAGUACCUUAUUUAUUUAUUUACCAUUUGCUUUCUUCCCUGGAAUGUGAAUUCCCCAAGAAAAGGAACUUUCUCCACUUUUGUCCAUUGCUGAAUCUCCAGUACACAGAAUACCGUCACACUCCUCCUCCUCCAAAUCUGUAUGACCUUGGAAAAUUUUCUUAAUAUCUCUGUGUCUCCGUUGGAUUGUAAAGAUCAAAUUCAUUAAUUCAUGUCAAGUGCUUUCAAAAGGACCUGGCAUACAAUUAGUGCUCAAUAGCUUAGUUAUUAUUACUCUUAUAUAGGCACUAGAUAAAUAUUAGUUGAACGAAUGAGAAUUUAAAAAGCUUAAUCUCAAAGAUGUGGUGUAAUCACCCUCUAAAUUGGAACAUGAUGAUAGGAGGGCUUGUCUUAUUCAAAAGAAAUACAUUUUUAAGAGGAGAAGUGGAGUAGUGCCAAUAGAAGAAUAUUAACCUCUGCACAGAAAUCUUCAUUUCCUGAGGAAAGAAGCACCCUAGAAAACACUGAGUAGAAAAAACAGUAACGGUGGCCAUUCUGGUGUACUCAUUAUGGCACAGGAAUUAGACAUGAACAAGACAGGUGAGGUUCCUGUUCUUGUCAGCAGUGACAGAGACUUCAACCAUCCAUGAAUAAGCCACAUAAUUUAUUUGGCCAAAAGCCAACCAUGUAACAGGUGCUUGAAGAUCAUUAAUGACAUUUAAUCUCCAAAGUAGCAAGGAAACAAUGGGAGGAAGUGACCGCUUUGGACCUAGUUCUGACAACGAGAAUUGAUGUAAUGUAAACUUUACAAGUGACCAUGUUAUCUUGACUUUUAUUUUUUUCAAGGACAGCAUGAAUUGUAUACUCUAUGUGAGUGUCUUCAAAAUGUUUAGAGGAAAGAUAUGCAUUAUUCAUGGCAUGAGACUCCUAAAGAGAUGAUGACUCAAAAGUGUUAUGAUGUUCUCAAAAAUGCAAUUUUGAGUGCAAUUGCAAAUGAUAAAAUAAGGAUAAAAGUAGGAAGAAAACUUUUAAGAAAUGUAGCUACAGAUUUUUUAAAAGAAAAAUUGCAAUUGAAAAGUAUCCCCAUCGAUCUUAUUCGUCAUCUUGGUAAAUGCAGUUCCAACAAUGUAGCAUAGAGUUAAAAGAAUUGUCAGAUGAAUGAACAAAUGAACAUUGAAUAUGAGUGUGGUAGGGCCAGACAGACUCAUAUCAGAAUGACCAAGGUCUCAAGUGAGCUAGGAUUUGAGAAAAAAAUUAAAAUACCAAAGUAACUUAAUACUUUUAUUUGGAGCAAGAGAAGGUCAUAAGUUUGAGCUAAUGAUAGAAUAAUGAUACAGUGUUUUUCAAUCUCUAAAACUGAGACUAAACACGAUUAGGAAGAAAUUAAAAACCCAAUAAGGCUUUCUUGGUCAGCACCUAAAUGAAUGCAUAUCCCCUAACAAGGAUGAAUUUCAAGCCACAUUAGGAAAAUAAUUUGUAAUGGAGAUCUCUGGGUACUAAGAGCAGUAUUAGAAGAUUAGGACUACAGGAAAGAGCUAAAACAGUCAAUUCCAAAAUCUACAGAAAGAUGAACUGUGGUUGAUUCCUGCUACAUUCUGAAUGAUUGAUCAAAAAAGCAAAUACUGGAGCUCCCUUGUGGCCAAGUAGUUAAGGAUUUGGUGAUGUCACUGCUCCGCUGUAGCUCGAUUCGGUCUCCUGGCUCAGGAACAUCUGCAAGCCGUGGGCAUGGACAGAUAUAUAUAUAUACACUACCACGUUUCCCUCUUUGAUACUACUAUUAAUCUGAUAAGCCAUUAUUAAUCUGGUAGAUCAAGAAGGUUUACACUGUUCAUGAAUUGAUCAGAAUGGCUUUGAGACAGUCUGGAAUAAUAAGGUUCGGAUACUAGCUUCAUUUGGUGAAUUCGCCAUUGCCUAUGUCAAUAUACCCUUACUUCCUAGUGGUGAGAAGACUCCUGGUCACCUUAUAGCACCACUCCUCCCACUUAUAUCUCGGUCCCGGUUUAUUUUUUUCUCCCAAACACCUGUCACUCUCUAAGCUACUUUAUUGUUUAUCUCAUAUAGUUUCUGUCUCCCCCCCUUAAAUGGAAAUUCUAUAAGGAUAAGUAUUUGAAUCCAUUGGGUUCAGUGCUUUAUGCUCAAUACCAAGCACAGUGCCCUGACUGAGUAUUCAGUGAAUAUUUUCUUGACUGACUGAAUGAAUGAAUGACUCUUGAAACAUGGUGUCUAAUGCAUGCCAAUGAAGAAGGAUAUAGGCCCACUAAAUUUUUUUUUUUUUUGAGGGGGACACAGUCAAGGACAGAACUUCAAAUCACAUCCCACAAAUAGAAGAAUCAAAUGAGUAUUUUUAGUCUAGGAAAAAGGAGACAUGAAGGGUGGGAAAAGGAGGAUGGAAGUUGGUUUGAUAUAGUAGAAAGCUUCAAAUAUCUGGGCUCUAUUAUGAAAAGGGAUUAUCCUAUUGUUUCUAUUUUUAAAUGAUCAACUGAUAUAAAUAAAUGGAAGUGACAGUUCGAUUUCACCUCUGUUUCACACACUCCAAGCUUUCCAGUGAUGGUCCUGGCUGCCACUGAAGGAGGGAGUUUCUCUUUUUCAAGGGUUUAAGAUGAAUAAAAAAUUUGUAGUGAUGGUGGUUAGACUAGAUAACAUUAAUAUUAUGCCAGACUACGAUGCUUUUAUUCUGUGAAUUAAAUCAGAUAGCUUCCUUGUGCCAAAUGUAUCCUUUGGAAAAAUGGACACAGAGAAUAUAUUUACAAGUAAAGCAUAGGAAAUAAACUCAAUAGCUUAAAAAUACAAAUCUGACUUAGUAAUUUGUCCAGCUUUUUAAAUCACCUGAAAAAGUUUUAAGACCUAUAAGUGUUCCAUUAUAUGAAAAAAAUUCCCAAUUUCUGAGGGCUGCAGGUGCGGCAUAUGGAAGUUCCCAGGCUAGGGGUUGAAUCGGAGCUACAGCUAGCUGCCGGCCUAUGCCAAGCCACAGCAACACCAUAUCUGAGCCCUGUGUCUGCAACCUACACCACAGCUCAUGGCAACACUGGAUCCUUAACCCACUGAGCAAGGCCAGGGAUCAAACCCUCAUCCUCACAGACACUAUGUUGGGUUCUUAACCCACCGAGCCACAAUGGGAACUCCCUCCCAGUUUUUGAUAUUAAUCUUCUGUGCCCCUCUUUCCUUUUCUUUCCUUUUUUCUCUUCAAUGUACCAUCCACACAUGCAGAGUUCUAAUCACUGUAAAGGCUACUGACUCAUAUUUCCAGAAUUCCCUCAAUCUUUUCCCAGAUUUAAGUUAAAAAGAAAGGCUAAAGCGUUCUGCUUGAACAUCUCCUCUUAAUAUACAAAAAAAUUGUAGAUUGAAAAAGAUUAGUAUAGUACUCCAACUUUCUUUCAAAAGCUGAGAUUCCAUGCUGCCACCCUUUCUGUCAAUGUCAAAGGACCCACAUGUGUCCUGAAGGAAACUUUGUGUCAGGUAGAGACCCUGGGGAUUCUUUACAUCUUCCCAUAAGCCAAGUAAAAUGCUUCAAUUAAAGCAAUUGGUAUGCAAUAAAUGUUGACUGUCAGAUACAUAGUUUUCUGAAAACCUGGCAGAAGGUUGCUUUAGAAGAACUUGUCUCCACACUAGCUUCUUCAGUUUUGAAGGUCCCAAAAGACUUUUAUAAAGGGAAAUAAAAGAUUAUUUAAAUAAACUAAUAUAUUAAUAAUCAUGCUACUAAUGGAGCUCAUAGGAUUAGAACUGUCCUACUUAAUUUGGAUUGCUUUUAAUAGAUGUGACUUUUCUAAUUUUCUGGAGAAUGGUUCUGUAUUUAACACAUUCAUCAACUGUGAUCAUCUUCUUCCCUUCAACUUUAGAUAAAAUUGCGCUAAUUCCCAUUCCACAUUCUAUUGAAAGUCUAAUGCCAGGCUUCAGAAAAAGGUAAGGUGGGAAUGUGUGUUUGGGAUGAGGAGGGUAGCAGCUUAUGUUUAUGCUACUUCCAAAUUCAUCUACAUCCAAACUCUUACUUCUGCUAGACUAACUCAGCGUGUGGUUCAUCUCAUGGUCUCUGCAAACUGUCAAGUCCUACACCUACCACAUGAGCAAUUUGGUCCCUUUCCUUUAUUUCUGUUGAAACACAAGGAGGAAACAAAGAAACAAAAAGGAGGGUUCAGCUAUCCUUUUAUGUAAAUAGACUUCACAGAAGUUUUUGGAAUAACAGAGGGGAUUUACAGAACACACACACACACAAACAUACAUACAUACACCCCUCGCAAAACUUAACAUUAGACAUCUCUCUUCUUCUAGUGUCCCUUUCCACCGAGUAGGUCCCAGCUCCUGAAAACUUCCCUGUGUCUCUUUUCUUUGUUUUCCUUCACCCACACAUUUCUUCUUACUUCUUAAAUAGAGAUUCUAGCAAUAUCAACAUUUAAAGGAGUUCCCAUCGUGGUGCAGAGGAAAUGAAUCUGACUAGGAACCAUGAGAUUGUGGAUUCGAUCCCUGGCCUUGCCCAGAGGGCUGGGGAUCUGGCGUUGCCAUGAGCUGUGGUAUAGGUUGCAGACGCAGCUCAGAUCUGGCAUUGAUGUGGCUGUGGUGUAGGCCGGCAGCUGUAGCUCCGAUUGGACUGCUAGCCUGGGAACCUCCAUAUGCCACAGGUGCAGCCCUCAAAAAGACAAAGGACCAAAAAAAAAAAAAAAUUUUUUUUAAAUCUUACAGUCAUGUUUGGUAUUUCCUUUUCUUACAUCCCCUAUAACUAAACUGUCCCCAAAUCUAUUUUGUUCUCAGACAGCAUUCAGAAUGAACUUCUUUUCUUUCCUGCUACCUGUUCUCUAGUCCAAAUCCAUAGAUCAUCUGCAGCUUUUCUCUGUCCUCCUGCAAUGAACUAACCUGAUCAAACACAUGAAAAUACAUUUGCUCAGGUUCCAUUCUUGCUUAAAAGUUUUUCGUCAAUUCCUAACUUCCCACCCAGAGUUUUAAAUGGCCUCUUAUACCUAGACCAGCUCUGUAUUUUUCCGAGUUAAUGUCCUAACUCAGACCUCACAACUCACACAAAGCCUUACCAUCUUGCCUUUGUUCUUGAUGUAUGGCUGUAUAUCCUUUGUUUAUUCAAAUCCUACUCAUGUUUGAAGAUUCCCUUCCCAAUCCCAUCCCUACCUUAUAUAUUUCAAGCCUAAACUCUCUCUCUCUCAUAGCACAGUUAAGAACCCAGUUGCUUCAAGUAUGUUUGUUUAUUUGCUUGUGUACAUUUGUUUACUAAAUUUGACUUGAACUCAUAGGAAUAGACAGGACUCUAUUUUACAUGUUAUUGUGUCCUUUCACAGAGCCAAAGCCAAGUCUGGACAUACAGAAGCUAUUACGGUUUACUGAACAGGACGACAGCUAAGAACUUGGGCUGGGGAGAUAUCAGCCUCAUUGUGAGAUAUCAAAGCAAAUUUAAAAAUUUCUCUAGGAUUUUGUUUGUAAAUGUGAGUUGUGGGGUCACCAUGAAGACUAAGUAGUAUAAGGCAUAUAAAGUACUGAGUGUAAUGUGUCUGGCAUUUUAUAGCCUGAGCAUUUUUAAGAAUCAAGUACAAAGAGCAUUUUGGGUCAUCUAUCCCAACACCUCCAUUCCACAAACAAGAACAUUAAGUUCCAGAGAGAUUAAUUAAACUGAAAGACUAGAUCUUCCUUCUGGGAGAAGUAGCUGGUGACUUUCUCAAGAUACUUAUUGUCUUGGAGCUGACUAAGGACCCAAACUCUUGACUCUCAGUCCAUGGCUCUUUUUGCAAUAUUCCAGUGCUACUAGAAUUAAUUUGGAAGUUGGGAAACCUUCAAGUGACCGACAAAAUUCUAAAUCAGUGGUUGUACUUGGGAU